AAACCAACAGGGAUUGCCUUAGUAACUGCGAGUGAAGCGGCAAGAGCUCAAAUUUGAAAUCUGGCACCCGCCCGAAUUGUAAUUUGUAGAAGCAAUUUUUGAACUAGUCCUUGCAUAUGUUCCUUGGAACAGGACAUCAUAGAGGGUGAGAAUCCCGUUCAUGGUGGGGAGUCUAGUUCUUUGUAAAAUGCUUUCGACGAGUCGAGUUGUUUGGGAAUGCAGCUCUAAGUGGGUGGUAAAUUCCAUCUAAAGCUAAAUAUUGGCGAGAGACCGAUAGCGAACAAGUACAGUGAUGGAAAGAUGAAAAGUACUCCGAAAGGAGAGUGAAAUAGGACGUGAAAUUGUUGAAAGGGAAGUGCUUGAGAUCAGUGAUAGAGUAUAGUGAUCAACUUUCCUUUUGGUUUGUGCACUUGCUAUUCUCUAGGCCAGCAUCAGUUUGUGAGGUAGGAUAAUUGCAUAGGAAUGUGGCUGUUUCGGCAGUGUUAUAGCCUGUGUCGAUACUACUUUGCAGACUGAGGACCGCGCAUUUGCUAGGAUGCUGGCAUAAUGAUCUUAAGCAGC
Molecule: ribosomal RNA, 561 nt
Filed under: Myxozyma sp. Y49
Lineage: Eukaryota; Fungi; Ascomycota; Lipomycetes; Lipomycetales; Lipomycetaceae
Description: eukaryotic LSU rRNA
Rfam family: Eukaryotic large subunit ribosomal RNA
Source: RNAcentral